This 320-nucleotide ribosomal RNA is filed under the name uncultured eukaryote. RNAcentral describes it as "partial 18S ribosomal RNA". It matches the Rfam family "Eukaryotic small subunit ribosomal RNA", at positions 1470 to 1796 of the family's 1831-position model. The record is from RNAcentral.
CCCCUAGAUGUUCUGGGCCGCACGCGCGCUACACUGAACAGUUCAACAAGUCUUAACCUUGGCCGAUAGGUCUGGGUAAUCUUUGAACGCUGUUCGUGAUUGGGAUAGACCUUUGCAAUUAUGGGUCUUCAACGAGGAAUUCCUAGUAAACGCAAGUCAGCAGCUUGCAUUGAUUACGUCCCUGCCCUUUGUACACACCGCCCGUCGCACCUACCGAUUGAAUGGUCCGGUGAAAUCUCGGGACGGCGGCUUGGUCGCUUGCGUCCGACUGCUGAAACUUGAUUAAACCAUAUCAUUUAGAGGAAGGUGAAGUCGUANCA